Long non-coding RNA from Acipenser ruthenus (sterlet), 800 nucleotides. RefSeq lists it as uncharacterized. The record is from RefSeq and is a predicted model, not a curated record. Lineage: Eukaryota; Metazoa; Chordata; Actinopteri; Acipenseriformes; Acipenseridae. The transcript has 2 exons.
AGAGAGUGAGCCGAGCUGUCACCCUGCACCCAAGCACAGGCGUUCGUAUUGAACAGAGAAGCCGGCUACCUGUUACAUUCUCACUGCUGCUUGUGUUGCUGCUGGUGCUCGGCAUGUUUCUUCAUGGAGCUUGAGCAGCUGUGACAGGCUGAGCGAUCCCUCCCUCUGCUCAGAAACCAGCCCAGCUACCCCUUAGGGUAUACCUUUACACUGCAGAGACUGGAUGGAGGGAGCAGGGGAAUUCUGCCUGAAGGAUCUUGACCUACUCCUCCAGGAUUUCUUUAACAUGCCUGUGAUGUGUGAUCCUUUGCCGUUACUAUGCUGCCCUCUGUCGGUGAGAUGAGGGAAGCUCUAAAGCCACCAAUGCAGACGAGCCCUGAAAGUUCAUUUCUGUGUGGAUAUUCAGUGUAUAUAAAAGUGUCCCAUUUGUCUGCGUUUGGGAGAGAAGCUGGUGACGUCACAUUCCCAGCAGCGUAACCGUCCUACUGGGAUUAGAAAAAAUACACCGCGGCAAGAUCGUGUUGGCCGGACUGUCAAUCAAAACACGAAAGUGCAAAUCGGAGCGACCAGAUUGGCAGUUGGUCACGUGAUUGCUCAGCUGCCUCAUGUGUCUUAUUAUUUUACAUUAUUUACAAAAGCUGUUUAUUCUUCUUCUUAUUAUUAUUGUUGCUAUUAUUGUUAAUUUUAUUUAUUUUUUGAAUGUCAGUUUAUUAAAAAUGAAAUAAGAUGUGCCAUUGUUCAGUAAAGACAACACAAACACACGGUGGGCGUGUUUGUAUUAAACGUUACUUGGUCAGCUA